This 440-nucleotide ribosomal RNA is filed under the name uncultured bacterium. Its description in RNAcentral is "partial 16S ribosomal RNA". It matches the Rfam family "Bacterial small subunit ribosomal RNA", at positions 338 to 795 of the family's 1533-position model. The record is from RNAcentral.
CCUACGGGUGGCAGCAGUAGGGAAUAUUGCUCAAUGGGGGAAACCCUGAAGCAGCAAAGCCGCGUGGGGGAUGAAGGUUUUCGGAUUGGUAACUCCCUUUGGUAGAGAAGAUAAUGACGGUAUCUAACGAAUAAGCACCGGCUAAAUCCGUGCCAGCAGCCGCGGUAAUACGGAGGGUGCAAGCGUUACUCGGAAUCACUGGGCGUAAAGGGCGCGUAGGCGGGAUAGCAAGUCAGAUGUGAAAUCCUAUGGCUUAACCAUAGAACUGCAUUUGAAACUGAUAUUCUAGAGUAUGUGAGAGGUAGGUGGAAUUCUUGGUGUAGGGGUAAAAUCCGUAGAGAUCAAGAAGAAUACUGAUUGCGAAGGCGACCUACUAGAACAUAACUGACGCUGAUGCGCGAAAGCGUGGGGAGCAAACAGGAUUAGAUACCCCUGUAGUC